GUUUCUUCUGAGGCGCCGGCGCUUCCUUCGCGGCCGCAGCGGUAGCGUAUUUCACGGCGCGGUGGAGAAGGUGGCCUACAGGGGAGGAGCUAUGAAUAGAAUUUGUGAGUGAUGAUUUAGUUGAAGAGUGACGUAUGGAUGAUCGGAGCAUGGAGGAGAAGAACCUUCGAGAAGCCAUGGUUGUGGAAAUGCGAGUGACAGAGCAGUGAGGUUACA
Molecule: unclassified non-coding RNA, 216 nt
Filed under: Hevea brasiliensis (rubber tree)
Lineage: Eukaryota; Viridiplantae; Streptophyta; Magnoliopsida; Malpighiales; Euphorbiaceae
Source: RNAcentral